This 492-nucleotide ribosomal RNA is filed under the name Tonganaella perna. RNAcentral's name for it is "partial 16S ribosomal RNA". It matches the Rfam family "Bacterial large subunit ribosomal RNA", at positions 1808 to 2605 of the family's 2925-position model. Lineage: Eukaryota; Metazoa; Mollusca; Bivalvia; Cardiida; Tellinidae. The record is from RNAcentral.
CAAAAACAUGGCUUCUCGGUGUAAAAAUAGGAGAGGUCUGGCCUGCCCGGUGGAGACAUCUCUAAACGGUCGCAGCUUUCACUGUGCGAAGGUAGCGUAAUAGGUCGUCCUUUAAUUGUGGGAAGGUAUGAAUGGUCGGAUGUUGGAAAGACUUUAUUUUAGACAUAUAUUGAAUUUUACUUUUUAGUGCAAAGGCUGAAAUAGAAUUAUUAGACGAGAAGACCCUGUUGAGCUUGGUAAGACUGGUUCUUGUGUGGAUUAGGUUAUGUUUUUUCGGGGUUGAAAGGAAGGAAUAGGAAUACCUUCCAUGAUGUGAUAAGGAUCCAGUAGGGCUGAUAUGUGGAAGAUAGUUACCACAGGGAUAACAGCGCAAUCUCCCUGAUAAGGCCAUAUUUAAGGGGUGGUUUGCGACCUCGAUGUUGAAUCAGAAUAUCUACCAGGUGUAGCAGUUUGGUAAGUAGGACUGUUCGUCCUUUGAAAUUCUACGUGAUC